AUGGUGGACAUGGACGGGGUGACGGAUACAGCUGGCUGGCAGUGGUACUGCUUAUAUGAGAGCCGGCUUGAACUGUUUAAAUGCGACGCAUCAGGAUCACAUGGAACAAUUCCCAUAUUCAUUAUAGUAUGUCUGGGACAACUCCAGCCAUUGUUUCAAGACAACUUCGUAUUUGAGAUAGUUAAUGUGUUUUAGCUCUUUUUAAUAUGAUUUAGUAGCUGGGUGUAAAAACAACAAAUCAGACAUGCUAUCAGCCAAUUCACUGAAUGCAGGAGUUUGGAAAUCUUGCCUGUACAGACCCUUGUCUUUCACACACUCAUUCAGUGAGGUGAGCCCCCCCCAUCACUCUCUGGAGAGAACCGCAGCCCUUCCCUGUGCCUGCAGCCCCUUCUCCCCAGGCUGAAAAGGCCAGCAGGACAAGAGUGCCCUGGCUCAGGCUUCUGCCCCAGGGCCCCGUGUUGCUGCAGGUGAGCUCAGACCACGCUUCCAGGUUUAGAGGUCCACACCUUGAUGUUCUCACAGGGAAAAUGUAAGUAUUUGUAUUAGGUCAUGUAAUUUUGUAUUGGUGUGUUGUGCAAUUUACAGAUAGUAAUUUCUAUUCAUUUCUGGCUGGUAUGAUGUCCAGCACUGUGUGGAUGUUAUUAUCCAUACAAUGGCAGAUCUGAAGAGGGCUUGGGAGCCCAGCACUCAGCUGGGACAAAUCAACAUUGCUGUAUUUAUGUGAGAGAAGUGAUAUUGUUUUACCAUAGCUACAACACAUCCAUUUCUGAGCAUGUUUGCUAUUGUUAAUACUCACCUUGGUGAUAACUAGAUAACUGUGCAGUUACUCACAAAAUUUCUUGCUUGCAUUUUUACAGUCUUUCCCCUUCCCACCUCCUACCUCCUCUGCUUGGCCACAGUUAUUUAUACAGCUUGGUAUUGCUUUUCAUUAAAUAUAUCUUUUCCAAAUGUCUGUUUAGGUUUACCUGAACUUUAUGGGACUGUCUUGGAAAUGUUGAAUAAAAUUCUGACUUUCAUCUCUUGUCUAGACUUC
This 1033-nucleotide long non-coding RNA is filed under the name Anas platyrhynchos platyrhynchos (common mallard). RNAcentral's name for it is "lncRNA (ENSAPLG00000027948.1)". Lineage: Eukaryota; Metazoa; Chordata; Aves; Anseriformes; Anatidae. The record is from RNAcentral.